Molecule: ribosomal RNA, 426 nt
Filed under: uncultured Bacillota bacterium
Lineage: Bacteria; Bacillati; Bacillota
Description: bacterial SSU rRNA
Rfam family: Bacterial small subunit ribosomal RNA
Source: RNAcentral
AGGGAAUCUUCCACAAUGGACGAAAGUCUGAUGGAGCAACGCCGCGUGAGUGAUGAAGGUUUUCGGAUCGUAAAACUCUGUUGUAAGGGAAGAACCAGUACGUCAGGCAAUGGACGUACCUUGACGGUACCUUAUUAGAAAGCCACGGCUAACUACGUGCCAGCAGCCGCGGUAAUACGUAGGUGGCAAGCGUUGUCCGGAAUUACUGGGUGUAAAGGAUGCGUAGGCGGAUAUGUAAGUCAGAUGUGAAACCCCCGGGCUUAACCCGGGGCAUGCAUUUGAGACUGCAUAUCUAGAGUGCAGGAGAGGAAAGCGGAAUUCCUAGUGUAGCGGUGAAAUGCGUAGAUAUUAGGAAGAACACCAGUGGCGAAGGCGGCUUUCUGGACUGUAACUGACGCUGAUGCAUGAAAGCGUGGGGAGCAAACA